CCCGCUGAAUUUAAGCAUAUUAAUAAGCGGAGGAAAAGAAACUAACAAGGAUUCCCUCAGUAGCGGCGAGUGAAGCGGGAAGAGCUCAAAUUUGAAAUCUCCGAUGCUUGCAUCGGCGAGUUGUAGUUGCGAGAAGCACUUUCUAGGCGGAUCGACGGUGCCUAAGUUGCUUAAAACGGCACGUCGCAGAGGGUGACAACCCCGUCUGUGGCGCYGCCGGCCGCCGACGAUGUGCUUUCGAAGAGUMGGGUUGUUUGGGAAUGCAGCCCAAAACGGGUGGUAAACCCCAUCUAAAGCUAAAUACUGGCGUGAGACCGAUAGCGAACAAGUACCGUGAGGGAARGAUGAAAAGAACUUUGAAAAGAGAGUUAAAAAGUACGUGAAACCGUCGAAAGGGAAACGAAUGGACUCAGCAAUGCGCCCUCUGAGAUUCAGCCGGUGGGUGGCGGCGGCGCCGGGUUUGCGGAUCUGAAUGGACCGCGGCCUGGCGCCCGCCUCUCCCCGCCGUCGCACUUCUCUGRGGCGCGCGUCAACGUGGGUUGGGACUGGGUCUGAAAGGCGCCGGGAAGGUAGGUGUGGGCCUUCGGGUCCGUUCUGUUACAGCCCGGUUCUCUCAUGGCUCGGGCCCGACCGAGGAGCGACACGGGGCAUGCCUCCUGUGGCUAGGGUCCCGCCCUUCYGGCCGGCUGUCCAGUGCGGUGGACUGCUUGCAGUGCUCCGYGACGGCUGCCGGUCGUUGGGGUGGUGAUCUCGUACCAUGCCCCUAGGAUGUUGGCGGUCAUAUGGGUGC
This 790-nucleotide ribosomal RNA is filed under the name Platygyra lamellina. RNAcentral's name for it is "partial large subunit ribosomal RNA". The record is from RNAcentral. Lineage: Eukaryota; Metazoa; Cnidaria; Anthozoa; Scleractinia; Merulinidae.